UACGGAGGGUGCGAGCGUUGUCCGGAAUCACUGGGCGUAAAGGGCGCGUAGGCGGCCUGAUAAGUAGGGGGUGAAAUCCUGCGGCUUAACCGCAGGGCUGCCUUCUAAACUGUCAGGCUUGAGCACAGUAGAGGCAGGUGGAAUUCCCGGUGUAGCGGUGGAAUGCGUAGAGAUCGGGAAGAACAUCAGUGGCGAAGGCGGCCUGCUGGGCUGUUGCUGACGCUGAGGCACGACAGCGUGGGGAGCAAACAGG
Molecule: ribosomal RNA, 253 nt
Filed under: uncultured bacterium
Lineage: Bacteria
Description: partial 16S ribosomal RNA
Rfam family: Bacterial small subunit ribosomal RNA
Source: RNAcentral